Long non-coding RNA from Brienomyrus brachyistius, 406 nucleotides. RefSeq lists it as uncharacterized. Lineage: Eukaryota; Metazoa; Chordata; Actinopteri; Osteoglossiformes; Mormyridae. The record is from RefSeq and is a predicted model, not a curated record. The transcript has 3 exons.
GGGUGGUGAACCUCCAGCAUUACUUUCUCCUCAUGUAGUGGACUACAUUGUAACAGGAGAUAUUCUUCAUGUGCAUGUCAGCCCAGAUGACGUCGCUGACACUGAACUCAGAGAAAACCUGACAAAGGUUGAUCAAGCAGCAACCCAAGAUGAGUUGAAUAUAGCAGUGGAAUGUUGUGAUUCAUGGAGAUUUGAAGUUGAAGGUCUUCCAAACCCAGUCAACAUGGAGACCAAGGAUGCAUUUGUAAAGAAUGCAAUACACUUCCACAAUCUCAUUCAACGACAGAUCUGCUAUGACCAGUUCGUUCAGGGUUUGAAGCACUAUGAGGUCCUACCACUAUUGAAAGAAAAUCCUUCUAUGAGGGUUUUCUUUGAUAUGCCCAAAGAAGCCAGUGAAGUCACUGCA